UCUAAAAUUAUUGAUCGUCCGGACACACAACCUGUCCGGACACACUUGGUUUCCUUAUUUUUCAGGACAAAUGACCUGAUGGAAAAUAAUGGGAAAAUGUUAUUGGCCUCAAUUUUGGACGGUCAUAUUUAUCGCAUGGCAUUAGACGGAAAUGAACAACAUCUCGUAUACGAUGUCAAUGGUGAACAGCUAGUCAUCACUUGCGAUAGAGUCAGUGUAUAUGCCUUGCAUCCGUAAACGUGGAAACAACCAUGCAUACAGGCGAUCGAUAUCACAGGGGAAAAACACCGAAUCUUGAUCAAAAAUGCUCGUCUUCAAAUUGAGGGGCUUGUCUACUAUUCUGGCCAUCUGUACUGGACUAACACCGUUUCAGGCGUCCGGGACUAUGGGACGGGAAUAGGCAAGAUAUCGGUAGAGGCGAAUAAUACUCAAGAUUUUGAGUUCUUGUCCCAAUCCUGGAGUGGAUAUGAGAUUCUCGCACGCGAUGACCUUACCAUGGAGGACUUGAGGUAGGCCCGUGGAGAAACUGGACAAGAUGGAAGAUCGUACGGCAG
This is a long non-coding RNA of Lytechinus variegatus (green sea urchin), 554 nucleotides long. RefSeq lists it as uncharacterized. Lineage: Eukaryota; Metazoa; Echinodermata; Echinoidea; Temnopleuroida; Toxopneustidae. The record is from RefSeq and is a predicted model, not a curated record. The transcript is spliced from 3 exons.